Molecule: ribosomal RNA, 646 nt
Filed under: Providencia rettgeri
Lineage: Bacteria; Pseudomonadati; Pseudomonadota; Gammaproteobacteria; Enterobacterales; Morganellaceae
Description: partial 23S ribosomal RNA
Rfam family: Bacterial large subunit ribosomal RNA
Source: RNAcentral
ACAAGCAGUGAAUGUGCUUUGGGGUGGGGUGACUGCGUACCUUUUGUAUAAUGGGUCAGCGACUUAUAUUCUGUAGCAAGGUUAACCGUAUAGGGGAGCCGUAGGGAAACCGAGUCUUAACUGGGCGAAUAAGUUGCAGGGUAUAGACCCGAAACCCGGUGAUCUAGCCAUGGGCAGGUUGAAGGUUGGGUAACACUAACUGGAGGACCGAACCGACUAAUGUUGAAAAAUUAGCGGAUGACUUGUGGCUGGGGGUGAAAGGCCAAUCAAACCGGGAGAUAGCUGGUUCUCCCCGAAAGCUAUUUAGGUAGCGCCUCGUGAACUCAUCUUCGGGGGUAGAGCACUGUUUCGACUAGGGGGUCAUCCCGACUUACCAACUCGAUGCAAACUACGAAUACCGAAGAAUGUUAUCACGGGAGACACACGGCGGGUGCUAACGUUCGUCGUGAAGAGGGAAACAACCCAGACCGCCAGCUAAGGUCCCAAAGUCAUAGUUAAGUGGGAAACGAAGUGGGAAGGCUCAGACAGCCAGGAUGUUGGCUUAGAAGCAGCCAUCAUUUAAAGAAAGCGUAAUAGCUCACUGGUCGAGUCGGCCUGCGCGGAAGAUGUAACGGGGCUAAACUAUGCACCGAAGCUGCGGCAGCGA